UGAUCUUUCUCCUCCCCCCUCCGCUACCUCACUCCUCAUUCUUUUCCUCCCUCCCUGGAUCCCCUCUCUCGUCAAGCUCGCCGUUGCAACGCCAGCCGCAGGGACCAGCGGGAUCCGCCAGCCGUCGGUCCGGAUCGACGUCCACGCCUCCGGCUCCGGCAUGCACGCCUGCUAGACACCGCCGUGAACCACCUCGUUUCUCCGAACCUCUUGAACCAAGGCUGCCUUUCUCGGUUCCAUCAGCCGCCGUUGCGACGCCGCGGCGGUCAUCCUCCUCCCCGAGCAACUACAGGGACCGUGACGGGCUCUGCGUCUGGACAACGGACUCGAAGCCGCGGGUCCCUCCUACUUCUUCCUCGACCACUGACCGCCAUUGACGUCGUCCGGAACUCCCUGCCAUCCGUCCUCUCGCCUCCCUGAUCCGUCCGACCAGGCCGCCAUGAACAACAAGGACAUUCAUGAGGGUUUGAAUUUUUCUGCUGCUGCUGAUGAAUCCUCCUUUGGAAUCUUUUAAAUAAAGUUUUCAAAAGAUGGCCGUGAACUUGUUGUUGGAAACAGCAAUGAGUCAAUAUGUAUUUAUGAUCUUGGAGGAAACAAAGUGACAGAGCGAAUUCAUGCUCAUGUGAACUUCAUAACAGAGGAGACUGGAAGAUGGAGAGAAAGGGACAAGGGAGAGGCGGCCCUCAGCCACGGCCGCCCACGCCCAGCCUCGAUCCCCUCCGGAUCGGGAUCGGGAGAGCCAGCGCUCGAUCCCUGCCUCGCCUCGCCACCUCGACGUCGGCGAGCCCUGCCAAAACCAGCUUCACAGGCGCCACCCUUCCUUCCUCUCCUUCCUCUCGUUUUCCCCUUCCUCCAUCCCGUGCUCUCUCUUAUCUAUCUCUCUCUCUCUCUGUUCGAACAGGAGAUACCCAGCCGCCCCAGCUAGGCCCAGUCGAGCCACGUUAACCUUCAGUUGAGAUGGACGGCGGCGCAGAGGGGACGGCGAGGUCGCCGGCAAGUACAACGACGACCGAUUGGCGGAGGCUCUGGUCGAGCGGCGAGCCCUCCCGGGCGGCGCACAGCGAGGAGCUCGGGCGCGCGGAGGAGAGGAGGAUCUGAGGCUUAACGGUGGUGCAGGGUGCUGCACUCGCCAGCGUCGGCCGGCGCGGCACCGGAUGAGCGUCGGGGUGGGCGCCUCCUUGCGGCUGGAAUCGGGAGGCGAGGGAGAGAGAGGAGAGCCCGUCCUGGUCCGCGGGUUGAGUAUAGGGAUUUAUUUGCAAAGUUGUCGAACGAAACGUUUUUUCACUUAAAAAAGGAGUGCGGGUUGAAUACGAAAAACUAUAGGGACUUUUCUGCAAAAACGGCGGCGACGUACGACCAGAU
Molecule: long non-coding RNA, 1362 nt
Organism: Triticum dicoccoides
Lineage: Eukaryota; Viridiplantae; Streptophyta; Magnoliopsida; Poales; Poaceae
Exons: 4
Source: RefSeq, a predicted model, not a curated record